RNAcentral lists this ribosomal RNA (499 nucleotides) under uncultured bacterium. Its description in RNAcentral is "partial 16S ribosomal RNA". It matches the Rfam family "Bacterial small subunit ribosomal RNA", at positions 28 to 507 of the family's 1533-position model. The record is from RNAcentral.
GACGAACGCUGGCGGCGUGCCUAAUACAUGCAAGUCGAGCGAAGUUUUUCCGGUGCUUGCACCGGAAAAACUUAGCGGCGAACGGGUGAGUAACACGUAAAGAACCUGCCUCAUAGACUGGGACAACUAUUGGAAACGAUAGCUAAUACCGGAUAAUAGCAUUAACUGCAUGGUUGAUGUUUAAAAGUUGGUUUUGCUAACACUAUGAGAUGGCUUUGCGGUGCAUUAGCUAGUUGGUGGGGUAAAGGCCUACCAAGGCGACGAUGCAUAGCCGACCUGAGGGGGUGAUCGGCCACACUGGGACUGAGACACGGCCCAGACUCCUACGGGAGGCAGCAGUAGGGAAUCUUCCGCAAUGGGCGAAAGCCUGACGGAGCAACGCCGCGUGAGUGAAGAAGGAUUUCGGUUCGUAAAGCUCUGUUGUUAGGGAAGAAUGAUUGUGUAGUAACUAUACACAGUAGAGACGGUACCUAACCAGAAAGCCACGGCUAACUACGUG